UACGGAGGGUGCAAGCGUUAUCCGGAUUCACUGGGUUUAAAGGGUGCGUAGGUGGGUUGGUAAGUCAGUGGUGAAAUCUCUAGGCUUAACCUGGAAACUGCCAUUGAUACUAUCAGUCUUGAAUAUUGUAGAGGUCAGCGGAAUAUGUCAUGUAGCGGUGGAAUGCUUAGAUAUGACAUAGAACACCAAUGGCGAAGGCAGCUUGCUGGGCAUAUAUUGACACUGAGGCACGAAAGCGUGGGGAUCAAACAGG
RNAcentral lists this ribosomal RNA (253 nucleotides) under uncultured bacterium. RNAcentral's name for it is "partial 16S ribosomal RNA". It matches the Rfam family "Bacterial small subunit ribosomal RNA", at positions 524 to 776 of the family's 1533-position model. The record is from RNAcentral.